ACGAACGCUGGCGGCGUGCUUAACACAUGCAAGUCGAACGGAAAGGCCUGCUUUCCCUUGUGGAUUGCGGGUACUCGAGUGGCGAACGGGUGAGUAACACGUGAGUGAUCUGCCCCCAACUUGGGUAUAAGCCUGGGAAACUGGGUCUAAUUCCCGAUAGGACUGCAGGGUGGUGCCUGUGGUGGAAAACGAUUUUCUAGUGGUUGGGGAUGAGCUCGCGGCCUAUCAGCUUGUUGGUGGGGUAAUGGCCUACCAAGGCGGCGACGGGUAGCCGGCCUGAGAGGGUGGACGGCCACAUUGGGACUGAGAUACGGCCCAGACUCCGACGGGAGGCAGCAGUGGGGAAUAUUGCACAAUGGGCGGAAGCCUGAUGCAGCGACGCCGCGUGGGGGAUGACGGCCUUCGGGUUGUAAACUCCUUUCGACCGCGAGGAAGCCACCUGGUUGGAAGGGUGGUGACGGUAGUGGUAGAAGAAGCACCGGCUAACUACGUG
Molecule: ribosomal RNA, 493 nt
Filed under: uncultured bacterium
Lineage: Bacteria
Description: partial 16S ribosomal RNA
Rfam family: Bacterial small subunit ribosomal RNA
Source: RNAcentral